RNAcentral lists this ribosomal RNA (381 nucleotides) under uncultured eukaryote. RNAcentral's name for it is "partial 18S ribosomal RNA". It matches the Rfam family "Eukaryotic small subunit ribosomal RNA", at positions 592 to 976 of the family's 1831-position model. The record is from RNAcentral.
CAAUAGCGUAUAUUAAAGCUGUUGCGGUUAAAAAGCUCGUAGUUGGAUUUCUGUCAAGGACAACUGGUCCGCCCUCCGGGUGAGCACAUAGUUUGGUCUUGACAUCUUGCUGGAAGCUGUUGCUGCACUUGGCUGUGUGGCGCAGUGUUCAGCACUUUCACUUUGAGGAAAUUGGAGUGUUUCAAGCAGGCACAUGCCUUUGGACACAGUAGCAUGGAAUAAUUAGAUUGGGCUUUUGCUCCAAUUUGUCGGUUUCUGGAGCUGAGGUGAGUAUUAAUGGGGAUUGUUGGGGGCAUCCGAAUUUAGCCGUCAGAGGCGAAAUUCUUGGAUCUGCUAAAGACGGACAACUGCGAAAGCGUUUGCCCAGGAUGUUUUCAUUGA